This 497-nucleotide ribosomal RNA is filed under the name uncultured bacterium. Its description in RNAcentral is "partial 16S ribosomal RNA". It matches the Rfam family "Bacterial small subunit ribosomal RNA", at positions 28 to 507 of the family's 1533-position model. The record is from RNAcentral.
GAUGAACGCUGGCGGCGUGCCUAAUACAUGCAAGUCGAGCGAACAGACGAGGAGCUUGCUCCUCUGACGUUAGCGGCGGACGGGUGAGUAACACGUGGAUAACCUACCUAUAAGACUGGGAUAACUUCGGGAAACCGGAGCUAAUACCGGAUAAUAUAUUGAACCGCAUGGUUCAAUAGUGAAAGACGGUUUUGCUGUCUCUUAUAGAUGGAUCCGCGCCGCAUUAGCUAGUUGGUACGGUAACGGCUUACCAAGGCAACGAUGCGUAGCCGACCUGAGAGGGUGAUCGGCCACACUGGAACUGAGACACGGUCCAGACUCCUACGGGAGGCAGCAGUAGGGAAUCUUCCGCAGUAGGCGAAAACCUGACGGAGCGACGCCGCGUGAGUGAUGAAGGUCUUCGGAGCGUAAAACUCUGUUAUUAGGGAAGAACAAAUGUGUAAGUAACUAUGCACGUCUUGACGGUACCUAAUCAGAAAGCCACGGCUAACUACGUG